Molecule: transfer RNA, 73 nt
Organism: Phytophthora infestans T30-4
Lineage: Eukaryota; Oomycota; Peronosporomycetes; Peronosporales; Peronosporaceae
Rfam family: tRNA
About the family: Transfer RNA (tRNA) molecules are approximately 80 nucleotides in length. Their secondary structure includes four short double-helical elements and three loops (D, anti-codon, and T loops). Further hydrogen bonds mediate the characteristic L-shaped molecular structure. tRNAs have two regions of fundamental functional importance: the anti-codon, which is responsible for specific mRNA codon recognition, and the 3' end, to which the tRNAs corresponding amino acid is attached (by aminoacyl-tRNA synthetases). tRNAs cope with the degeneracy of the genetic code in two manners: having more than one tRNA (with a specific anti-codon) for a particular amino acid; and 'wobble' base-pairing, i.e. permitting non-standard base-pairing at the 3rd anti-codon position.
Source: Rfam
ACCCGUCUAGCUCAGUCGGUAGAGCGCUGGCCUUUUAAGCCAGUGGUCGUGGGCUCGAUCCCCACGGGGGGUG